CCGAUUCGCCCGCCGCGCCCCGCGCCCGUCCCGCCGCCCCCGCCCGCUCCUACGGGAGGCAGCAGUGGGGAAUAUUGCACAAUGGGCGCAAGCCUGAUGCAGCGACGCCGCGUGCGGGAUGGAGGCCUUCGGGUUGUAAACCGCUUUUGUUCAAGGGCAAGGCACGGUCUUUGGCCGUGUUGAGUGGAUUGUUCGAAUAAGCACCGGCUAACUACGUGCCAGCAGCCGCGGUAAUACAAUCCAUAUGACUAG
RNAcentral lists this ribosomal RNA (252 nucleotides) under uncultured organism. RNAcentral describes it as "partial 16S ribosomal RNA". It matches the Rfam family "Bacterial small subunit ribosomal RNA", at positions 299 to 536 of the family's 1533-position model. The record is from RNAcentral.